Molecule: ribosomal RNA, 253 nt
Filed under: uncultured bacterium
Lineage: Bacteria
Description: partial 16S ribosomal RNA
Rfam family: Bacterial small subunit ribosomal RNA
Source: RNAcentral
UACAGAGGGUGCGAGCGUUAAUCGGAAUUACUGGGCGUAAAGCGCACGUAGUCGGCUUUGCAAGUCGGUUGUGAAAUCCCCGGGCUCAACCUGGGAACUGCAUCCGAGACUGCAUUGCUAGAGUAUGGGAGAGGAAAGCGGAAUUUCUGGUGUAGCAGUGAAAUGCGUAGAUAUCAGAAGGAACAUCAGUGGCGAAGGCGGCUCGCUGGGCCAGUUCUGACACUCAUCCGCGAAAGCGUGGGGAGCAAACAGG